This 301-nucleotide ribosomal RNA is filed under the name uncultured bacterium. RNAcentral describes it as "partial 16S ribosomal RNA". It matches the Rfam family "Bacterial small subunit ribosomal RNA", at positions 509 to 807 of the family's 1533-position model. The record is from RNAcentral.
CAGCCGCCGCGGGAAUACGUAGGUGGCAAGCGUUGUCCGGAAUUAUUGGGCGUAAAGGGCUCGCAGGCGGUUUCUUAAGUCUGAUGUGAAAGCCCCCGGCUCAACCGGGGAGGGUCAUUGGAAACUGGGAAACUCGAGUGCAGAAGAGGAGAGUGGAAUUCCACGUGUAGCGGUGAAAUGCGUAGAGAUGUGGAGGAACACCAGUGGCGAAGGCGACUCUCUGGUCUGUAACUGACGCUGAGGAGCGAAAGCGUGGGGAGCGAACAGGAUUAGAGACCCGGGUAGUCCCUGUCCCUUAUAC